ACUCAAAGGAAUUGACGGGCACCCGCACAAGCGGUGGAGCAUGCUGUUUAAUUCGAAGGUACGCGAAGAACCUUACCAGGGCUUGACAUCCCUCUGACCGAUCUGGAAACAGAUUUUUCUCCCUCGGGAGACAGAGGUGACAGGUGGUGCAUGGUUGUCGUCAGCUCGUGUCGUGAGAUGUUUGGUUAAGUCCAAUAACGAGCGCAACCCUUCUCCUUAGUUGCUAACAUUCAGUUGAGAACUCUAAGGAUACUGCCGGUGACAAACCGGAGGAAGGUGGGGAUGAGGUCAAAUCAUCAUGCCCCUUACGUCCUGGGCUACAGGCGUGCUACAAUGGCCGGUAUAGAAAGAAGCAAUAUCGUAAGAUGGAGCAAAUCUCCAAAGCCGGUCCCAGUUCGGAUUGAGGUCUGCAACUCGACCUCAUGAAGUUGGAAUCGCUAGUAAUGGCAAAUCAGAAUGUUGCCGUGAAUACGUUCCCGGGUGUUGUACACACCGCCCGU
RNAcentral lists this ribosomal RNA (500 nucleotides) under uncultured bacterium. RNAcentral describes it as "bacterial SSU rRNA". It matches the Rfam family "Bacterial small subunit ribosomal RNA", at positions 899 to 1397 of the family's 1533-position model. The record is from RNAcentral.